UCUCAAUGGUGCUCACUUGCUUGGAAGCAG
RNAcentral lists this non-coding RNA (30 nucleotides) under Homo sapiens (human). Lineage: Eukaryota; Metazoa; Chordata; Mammalia; Primates; Hominidae. The record is from RNAcentral.